This 250-nucleotide ribosomal RNA is filed under the name uncultured bacterium. RNAcentral describes it as "partial 16S ribosomal RNA". It matches the Rfam family "Bacterial small subunit ribosomal RNA", at positions 779 to 1027 of the family's 1533-position model. The record is from RNAcentral.
UAGAUACCCUGGUAGUCCACGCCCUAAACGAUGUCAACUGGUUGUUGGGUCUUCACUGACUCAGUAACGAAGCUAACGCGUGAAGUUGACCGCCUGGGGAGUACGGCCGCAAGGUUGAAAUUCAAAGGAAUUGACGGGGACCCGCACAAGCGGUGGAUGAUGUGGUUUAAUUCGAUGCAACGCGAAAAACCUUACCCACCUUUGACAUGUACGGAAUCCUUUAGAGAUAGAGGAGUGCUCGAAAGAGAGC